Molecule: long non-coding RNA, 355 nt
Organism: Girardinichthys multiradiatus
Lineage: Eukaryota; Metazoa; Chordata; Actinopteri; Cyprinodontiformes; Goodeidae
Exons: 3
Source: RefSeq, a predicted model, not a curated record
AGGAUGUAGAAAGGCUGCUGCGGGUGAAGCCUCCUGUAUCUCUGGUACUGGAUGAAGAUGGGAUAAUCUGUGUGGUUGUACCACUGCAGGAGGGAUAAACAGCAUGUGGAGACAUAUGAGAAAAAAAUAUUUCAUAGAGAUGUUCAGGAACUGGGUGAACAAGGGUAAAAAAGCAGCAAAGGAACUUAAAAAUCUUCAGAAGGCCUGAGAUGUUAAAAAAAGCGAGGGAUGGGAGAAACUGGAGCUUUAACAUCACCGAGAAUGAAGAACGACAACAAACCUUGAUGACGGAGUGUGUACGAGGCUGAGCCCUGGUUCGUGCUCGCACGCCGAAGAUGGCAUCUGUGACAGGCAC